GAGGUUGGAGUCAAAUCAUGGGCCAUGUCCAUUGGCACAGACACUGGGGAACCACAGAAGGUUCCGAGCAAGAACAAAACAUGUACCUAAGCAUUAGGAAGAUAUUAGGGGGAGAAGAAGUUGGUUUCAUCUUAAAAGAUCUGCUGCCUUCUUGUUGGUUACAUAGAUGCCCUAUGCAAGGCACUGCCCACCCAGAAAGAGAAGCAAGAAAUCAAACUAAGUGACCGUGGUUUCCUUUAUGACUCAGCUGUGAGUGCUGUUCUCUGCGGCAGAAGACCUUUCCUGGUGCUCUCAGCUGCUAGCGCCUUCCCAUCAAAGCUCCUGCCAAGAAGCAAGAAUUUGGCUUUGCACAAGAGACAAACAAGGAAAAAAUCACAUUCUGGUGUCUAAAUGGAUAGACCAGAUAAGAGCUUUGGAUUUUUUUGGCUUCACUGUAUUUCAAAUACCUGAGUGUGGCACGAGUAUCUGGUUCCAGCUGGGAAAAGGAGUGGCCAUUUCCAGUUCCUGCCAUCAAGAAGGACUGCUCAGGAGAAGAUGGACAUGAGACAAUGGACAGUUCAUGUGGCAGACGGUCAUGGCUCCAAGCUGGCUGCCUGAAGCCCAUCAAGCACAUGCCAAAAAAUACAAAUACACCUGCU
Long non-coding RNA from Phascolarctos cinereus (koala), 638 nucleotides. RefSeq lists it as uncharacterized. The record is from RefSeq and is a predicted model, not a curated record. NCBI's taxonomy places the organism in Eukaryota, Metazoa, Chordata, Mammalia, Diprotodontia, Phascolarctidae.